AUCUUACACACAGCAUACCCACU
RNAcentral lists this microRNA (23 nucleotides) under Panagrellus redivivus. RNAcentral describes it as "prd-miR-7943-5p". The record is from miRBase by way of RNAcentral. Lineage: Eukaryota; Metazoa; Nematoda; Chromadorea; Rhabditida; Panagrolaimidae.